UGUAGAUAUGAGAAGAACAUCAGCGGCGAAGACACGCUCCUCGCAGUGAACCUACGAGGAGGCGCGAAAGCGUGAGGAGCGAACAGGAGUAGAUAACCUGGUAGUGCUCGCCGUGUAGUAUGUGCAGUAGAUGUUGGGUGCUUGAAGGGUCAGUUGCGCAAUUUAUCUCUUUAAGUGCACCGCCUGGAGACUUCGCCCGCAAGGAUGAAACUCAAAGGAAUUGACGUGGGCCCGCACAAGCGGGGGAGCCUCUAGCAUAAUUGCCUGUUACGCGAUGAACCUUACCAGGGCGAACCUUAUACCGGAAGUCGCAAGAGAUUGUGGGGCCCUUAGGGGGGGGUAUCCUGGUGCAGCGUGGACGUGGUCAGCUCGCGCCUUGUGGGGUUGGGCUAAGUCCCGUAACGAGAACUACCCCUAUGAUCGGAACCCAUCCCCUAAUUUUGGGAACUCUAAGGAAACUGCCGGUGACAAACCGGAGGAAGGUGGGGAUGACGUCAAGUCAUCAUGGCCUUUAUGUCCUGGGCUACACACGCGCUACAAUGGCCGGUACAGAGGGAAGCGACAUCGCGAGGUGGAGCAAAUCGUCGAAAGCCGUUUUCAUUUGAGAUGCGAUUCUGAAACCGGACUCCAGAAAGGGGGAAUCGUUAGUAAUCGAGCUUCAGCAUGGCGCGGUGAAUACGUUCCCGGGCCUUGUACACACCGCCCGUCACACCAUCGGAGUUGGGGGCACCUGAAGUCGUUAGCCUAACCUGAAAGGGAGGGCGCCGUCGAGGGUAUGCCUGGUAAGGGGGGUGAAGUCGUAACAAGGUAACCAAGGGCGAA
Molecule: ribosomal RNA, 822 nt
Filed under: uncultured organism
Description: bacterial SSU rRNA
Rfam family: Bacterial small subunit ribosomal RNA
Source: RNAcentral